GAGGAAUAUUGCACAAUGGACGCAAGUCUGAUGCAGCAACGCCGCGUGGAGGAUGACGGUCUUUGGAUUGUAAACUCCUUUUCUCAGGGAAGAGAAUGGACGGUACCUGAGGAAUAAGUCACGGCUAACUACGUGCCAGCAGCCGCGGUAAUACGUAGGUGGCGAGCGUUAUCCGGAAUUACUGGGCGUAAAGCGCACGCAGGCGGUUCGGCAAGUUCGACGUGAAAACUCCCGGCUUAACUGGGAGAGGUCGUUGAAAACUGCCGGGCUUGAGGCAAUGAGAGGGGUGUAGAAUUCCCGGUGUAGUGGUGGAAUGCGUAGAUAUCGGGGGGAAUACCAGUGGCGAAAGCGGCACCCUAGCGUUGUUCUGACGCUCAUGUGCGAAAGCGUGGGGAGCGAA
This 400-nucleotide ribosomal RNA is filed under the name uncultured bacterium. Its description in RNAcentral is "bacterial SSU rRNA". It matches the Rfam family "Bacterial small subunit ribosomal RNA", at positions 356 to 772 of the family's 1533-position model. The record is from RNAcentral.